This is a long non-coding RNA of Drosophila sulfurigaster albostrigata, 292 nucleotides long. RefSeq lists it as uncharacterized. Lineage: Eukaryota; Metazoa; Arthropoda; Insecta; Diptera; Drosophilidae. The record is from RefSeq and is a predicted model, not a curated record. The transcript has 2 exons.
AAUGCCGAGUUGUUAACAAUUCUUAAAAAGAAAGAGUCAAAAAUGUUAGACCUUUGAAAGCAGACUUCCACACAGCAAAAAAAAUAAUUUUACAAAUAAUAUUAGUAUUAGUUUUUGUUGUCUACAAGAAGAUGCAAUCAGUACGGAAAAAUAAAAAUGGGUGCAAUUAAAUAAAAACAGUUUUUCAAAUAUAUCUCUGAAUCAAAGUGAACGUAGUUUGCUUUUGUAGCCAACCUUUUGACUUAAGAUCAUAUUGCACAAUUCAUUCUAUAAAAUAUUAUUUUUAAAUCAA